Molecule: ribosomal RNA, 253 nt
Filed under: uncultured bacterium
Lineage: Bacteria
Description: partial 16S ribosomal RNA
Rfam family: Bacterial small subunit ribosomal RNA
Source: RNAcentral
UACGUAGGUGGCAAGCGUUGUCCGGAAUUAUUGGGCGUAAAGGGUGCGUAGGCGGAUUAUUAAGUUAGAUGUGAAAGCCCCAGGCUUAACUUGGGGACUGCAUUUAAAACUGGUAGUCUAGAGUGCAGGAGAGGAAAGCGGAAUUCCUAGUGUAGCGGUGAAAUGCGUAGAUAUUAGGAAGAACAUCAGUGGCGAAGGCGGCUUACUGGACUGUAACUGACGCUGAGGCACGAAAGCGUGGGGAGCAAACAGG